GAUGAACGCUGGCGGCGUGCUUAACACAUGCAAGUCGAACGGUGAAGGCGGAGCUUGCUCUGCUGGAUCAGUGGCGAACGGGUGAGUAACACGUGAGCAAUCUGCCCCUGACUCUGGGAUAAGCGCUGGAAACGGCGUCUAAUACUGGAUACGAGCUGCGACGGCAUCUUCAGCAGCUGGAAAGAACUUCGGUCAGGGAUGAGCUCGCGGCCUAUCAGCUUGUUGGUGAGGUAACGGCUCAUCAAGGCGUCGACGGGUAGCCGGCCUGAGAGGGUGACCGGCCACACUGGGACUGAGACACGGCCCAGACUCCUACGGGAGGCAGCAGUGGGGAAUAUUGCACAAUGGGCGAAAGCCUGAUGCAGCAACGCCGCGUGAGGGACGACGGCCUUCGGGUUGUAAACCUCUUUUAGCAGGGAAGAAGCGAAAGUGACGGUACCUGCAGAAAAAGCGCCGGCUAACUACGUG
This 468-nucleotide ribosomal RNA is filed under the name uncultured bacterium. RNAcentral's name for it is "partial 16S ribosomal RNA". It matches the Rfam family "Bacterial small subunit ribosomal RNA", at positions 28 to 507 of the family's 1533-position model. The record is from RNAcentral.